AGCGAACGCUGGCGGCAGGCCUAACACAUGCAAGUCGAGCGCCCGUAGCAAUACGGGAGCGGCAGACGGGAGAGUAACACGUGGGAACGUACCCUUCAGUUCGGAACAACCCAGGGAAACUUGGGCUAAUACCGGAUACGUCCGUAAGGAGAAAGAUUUAUCGCUGAAGGAUCGGCCCGCGUCUGAUUAGCUAGUUGGUGGGGUAAUGGCCCACCAAGGCGACGAUCAGUAGCUGGCUGAGAGGAUGAUCAGCCUCAUUGGGACUGAGACACGGCCCAAACUCCUACGGGAGGCAGCAGUGGGGAAUAUUGGACAAUGGGCGCAAGCCUGAUCCAGCCAUGCCGCGUGGAUGAUGAAGGCCCUAGGGUUGUAAAGUCCUUU
Molecule: ribosomal RNA, 381 nt
Filed under: uncultured bacterium
Lineage: Bacteria
Description: bacterial SSU rRNA
Rfam family: Bacterial small subunit ribosomal RNA
Source: RNAcentral